GGCUCGGUAGCUCAGUCGGAUAGAGCAAUCCUCCUCGGAGGAUCGGUCGCAGGUUCGAGUCCUGCCCGAGCCA
This 73-nucleotide transfer RNA is filed under the name Pseudomonas anguilliseptica. Its description in RNAcentral is "tRNA_Gly_TCC". It matches the Rfam family "tRNA". From Rfam's summary of the family: Transfer RNA (tRNA) molecules are approximately 80 nucleotides in length. Lineage: Bacteria; Pseudomonadati; Pseudomonadota; Gammaproteobacteria; Pseudomonadales; Pseudomonadaceae. RNAcentral also lists the same sequence under 1 other name. The record is from RNAcentral.